GUGUCAUCUGCUUUUCAGUCCUUCAAAGUGACAGAAGUCUGCCCACCCAGCCAUAGAGAGAGGACGGGUCAUUUUUCAGGGACAACCAAUCACUGCUACAUCACCCACAGAUGUGAGCGAUUAGGAGUUAAAAUGAGUCAGUAGAUGCCACUGAUGAUACGGGCUAUAACGGACACGUUACUACGUGGGAACCUUUCUGUGGUGUUUUAUUACUUGCCAAA
This is a long non-coding RNA of Oreochromis niloticus (Nile tilapia), 221 nucleotides long. RefSeq lists it as uncharacterized. The record is from RefSeq and is a predicted model, not a curated record. The transcript is spliced from 3 exons. Lineage: Eukaryota; Metazoa; Chordata; Actinopteri; Cichliformes; Cichlidae.